This 21-nucleotide non-coding RNA is filed under the name Caenorhabditis elegans. The record is from RNAcentral. Lineage: Eukaryota; Metazoa; Nematoda; Chromadorea; Rhabditida; Rhabditidae.
UGGAUUUUAAUUAGAAUAAUU